AUGAUUGUUAAAUAUCUCAUGCAUAAUUUUCUUUUUUUCAUCUAAAAAUACUUCAUUUAUAUAAAUCAGUGUAUACAAAAUUAUCAACGAGAUUACAGAUAUAACCAAUGGUUUAUGUAACGAAGAAACGAUAAAGUUUAUUACGCUCCGCUUUCUUAGUCAAGUACUUAAUCGUCUUCAUAAUUUCCGUCAAUUUGGUGUGACUUUCUUGCUUGGGAAUCAUCUUCUUUUUACAGAUGAAAUACUGGUAACGCAUACGGAAAUCAUAGGCAGCGAUCCAUCCGUUACAUCACAAAACCUUCGAAUUGAUCGAAACUCUUAUAUAGAAAGAGAUGUCAUUGAUCUUGGUUUUCCUUAAACCCCAUUUUUGUUGAUAUGGUAUAAACCAUCUUCUGAUUCUCCUAUUAGCCUC
This 412-nucleotide small RNA is filed under the name Arabidopsis thaliana (thale cress). Its description in RNAcentral is "ATSL081020". Lineage: Eukaryota; Viridiplantae; Streptophyta; Magnoliopsida; Brassicales; Brassicaceae. The record is from RNAcentral.